This 292-nucleotide ribosomal RNA is filed under the name uncultured bacterium. RNAcentral describes it as "partial 16S ribosomal RNA". It matches the Rfam family "Bacterial small subunit ribosomal RNA", at positions 505 to 796 of the family's 1533-position model. The record is from RNAcentral.
GUGCCAGCAGCCGCGGUAAGACAGAGGGUGCAAACGUUGUUCGGAAUUACUGGGCGUAAAGCGUGUGUAGGCGGCUACAUAAGUCGGAUGUGAAAGCCCCGGGCUCAACCCGGGAAGUGCACUCGAUACUGCGUAGCUUGAGUCUCGGAGAGGUUGGUGGAAUUCUCGGUGUAGAGGUGAAAUUCGUAGAUAUCGAGAGGAACACCGGUGGCGAAGGCGGCCAACUGGACGAAGACUGACGCUGAGACACGAAAGCGUGGGGAGCAAACAGGAUUAGAAACCCGCGUAGUCC